RNAcentral lists this ribosomal RNA (281 nucleotides) under Sonorella sp. 2 KFW-2010. Its description in RNAcentral is "partial 12S ribosomal RNA". Lineage: Eukaryota; Metazoa; Mollusca; Gastropoda; Stylommatophora; Helminthoglyptidae. The record is from RNAcentral.
AAUACCAUCAGGUACAAACUUAAAUAACAUGGCGGUAACUAUAAAAAUUAGGGGAACUUACCAUAUAAAUGAUACCCACCACGAAAAUUUACUUCAGGUAAAAUUUUGUAUGCCGCCGUCGUCAGGUAAAAUUUAAAAUCUUUACCUUAAAAUUAACCUAUAAAAAGACAGGUCAAGGUGCAAACUAUCUUGAAGACAUGGCGAGUUACAUUAGUAAAUUGCUUCCAUAUUAAAUGUAAAACUUUCAUUGGUCGGACUUAAAAGUAAGUUAUAAUAAAAUU